ACAAACCAGUUCUUAGAAUUUUUAACCUCCUACACAUUCUGAUCUUUUAAAAUUUUUCUCUUUUAGGUAUUUAGUUAUCUUUUAAAAUUUUCUCUUUUAGGUAUUUAGUUAUCUUUUAAAAUUUUCUCUUUUAGGUAUUUAGUUAUCUUUUAGGUUUUAUUUUUUUGUUCACUCACCCCAAUGUGAUGAUCCUCGAUGAAGGCCUUCAUGUUGGAGUCUCGUAGAGGUUGGGCUGAUUA
Drosophila ananassae is the source of this 239-nucleotide long non-coding RNA. RefSeq lists it as uncharacterized. Lineage: Eukaryota; Metazoa; Arthropoda; Insecta; Diptera; Drosophilidae. The record is from RefSeq and is a predicted model, not a curated record. The transcript is spliced from 2 exons.